This 310-nucleotide ribosomal RNA is filed under the name uncultured eukaryote. RNAcentral describes it as "partial 18S ribosomal RNA". It matches the Rfam family "Eukaryotic small subunit ribosomal RNA", at positions 1470 to 1796 of the family's 1831-position model. The record is from RNAcentral.
CCCUUAGAUGUCCUGGGCCGCACGCGCGCUACAAUGAUAAAUUCAGAAUGUUUUUCCUGCCCUGGAAAGGUGUGGGUAAUCAUUAUAGUAUUUAUCGUGUUAGGGAUCGAUCUUUGCAAUUAUAGAUCUUGAACGAGGAAUGCCUAGUAAGUGCAGCUCAUCAGGCUGUACUGAUUACGUCCCUGCCCUUUGUACACACCGCCCGUCGCUCCUACCGAUUUCGAGUGUUCAGGUGAAUCUUCUGGACUGAGUCGCAAGACCCGGGAAGUUAGAUAAAUCUUAACACUUAGAGGAAGGAGAAGUCGUANCA